GAUGAACGCUGGCGGCGUGCCUAAUACAUGCAAGUAGAACGCUGAAGGAGGAGCUUGCUCGUCUGGAUGAGUUGCGAACGGGUGAGUAACGCGUAGGUAACCUGCCUUGUAGCGGGGGAUAACUAUUGGAAACUAUAGCUAAUACCGCAUGACAACAGUUAUUGCAUGAUAACGGUUUAAAAGUUUCAACGGCUCCGCUACCAGAUGGACCUGCGUUGUUUUAGCUAGGUGGGGAGGUUACGGCUCACCAAGGGGGGAAUACGUAUACGACCUGAGAGGGGGAUAGGCGGCACUGGGACGGAGACAGGGCCCAGACGACUAAGGGAGGCAGCAGUAGGGAAUCGUGGGCAAUAGAGGGAAGUCUUGCCGAGUAAGGCCGAGUGAGUGACGACGGUUUUCGGAUCGUAAAGAACGGCUGUAAGAGAAGAACGAGUGUGGGAGUGGAAAGUUCACUCUGUGACGGUAUCUUAACAGAAAGGGACGGCUAACUACGUG
Molecule: ribosomal RNA, 495 nt
Filed under: uncultured bacterium
Lineage: Bacteria
Description: partial 16S ribosomal RNA
Rfam family: Bacterial small subunit ribosomal RNA
Source: RNAcentral